UACGUAGGGGCCGAACGUUAUCCGGAAUCAUUGGGUUUAAAGGGUCCGUAGGCGGGAUAAUAAGUCAGCGGUGAAAGUCUGUGGCUCAACCAUAGAAUUGCCGUUGAUACUGUUGUUCUUGAGUGCUUAUGAAGUGGUUAGAAUAUGUAGUGUAGCGGUGAAAUGCAUAGAUAUUACUCAGAAUACCGAUUGCGAAGGCAGAUCACUAAUAAUAUACUGACGCUGAUGGACGAAAGCGCAGGUAGCGAACAGG
RNAcentral lists this unclassified non-coding RNA (253 nucleotides) under uncultured Flavobacteriaceae bacterium. RNAcentral describes it as "contains 16S-23S intergenic spacer region". It matches the Rfam family "Bacterial small subunit ribosomal RNA", at positions 524 to 776 of the family's 1533-position model. Lineage: Bacteria; Pseudomonadati; Bacteroidota; Flavobacteriia; Flavobacteriales; Flavobacteriaceae. The record is from RNAcentral.